CCCCAUGGGGAAAAAAAGGACAAAAUAUGAGCACAUACACCAGGCUCCUGUUCCUCUUAGGCUGUUAGCUUUAUUGGGCUGGUUUGUCGUUUGUCUGCUAGUGAUGUGUGGGACUCUCCUCACUUCACUUCCCUUCGUCCCUCUUCAAGGGUUUCUCUUGUGAUCUCUGCCCAUCUCCCAACAACCUUUCCCUCUCUCAGUACAGCUGCUGAUUUCAAAAUGCUGAGCCCUCUUCUGUAGGAGCCUGUCCCCCUAUCAUAGCUGAUGGAUGGGGUUGGAUGCCUGACCCAAAUUAGCCAAUCAGAGUUUCUCUCCUGAGAAUGUAAAGAGGGACAGAGAUAGGUGGGGACCAAAAGUUAUGGGAGCUGAGCCCUGUGUGGUAGGCAGAAUUUUACAUAGGGCACGUGUAAUAUGAUGAGAAGCUGAGCUUCUCACUCCCACAAUUGCUGUGUUACUUGGCAGGGUUGACCUUAAGAUAAAAGACUCUCAGGUGAGCCUGAUCUAGUCAUCUGGUUCUUUCAAAGCAGCAGGAGUCAGAUUUGAAGCACGAGGGACUUUGCUGGCUUGAAGAUGGAGGGGGUCAUAGGGGAAGAAAGUGCUGUGGCUUCUAGGAGCUGACGGAGUUUCCCAGCUGAGAGCCAUUGAGGAAGUGGACACCUCAAUCUUAUAAUCACAAGGACGUGAUUCAGCCAACAACCUGAAGGAGCUUAGAAGUGGACUUUCCCCUCAAGCUUCCAGAGAAGACCCCAGCAUGGCUGACACCUUGGCUUUGGUCUUGAGCAGAGGACAAAGUUGAGCUGUGCCAGACUUCUGACCUACAGAACUAUCCCAUUUAGUGAAUCCUGCUUGCUCUACCUUCAGGAUAUAUCCAGCUGCUGCCCCUGCCAUCCUGUCCAGGCCAUUGCCACCUCUUGUCUGAAUCAUCACAGAGCCUCUAACACGUCUCCCUUCAUCCUUUUGCCCCUGACACGGUGGAGAAGAGACCAAACAGCUGCCAGAGAUCCUCAGCAUGGCGCCCUGGGGCACCGAGGACGCGUGUGCUGCUGUGAAAGCAGAAGCCAGAAUUCUCAUGAUGACUUCAGGGCCCCCUGUGACUCGGCCCCUACGUCCUUCUCUUCAUGCCCUCGCACACUUCUCACCUCUCAUUCUAUUCCAGCCACAGGGGUCUGGCUUCCGUUCCCUGAACUCUCAUGCCCUGAGGCCUUUGCACUCGCUGUCCCUUCUGCCCACACUGCUCUUCUCUAGGGUAUCUGACAGCUCACUCCCUCACCUCUUUCAGGGCUUUCAAAUGCCACCUUCCUCAUGGAGCCUUCCUGGUCAUUCUAUUCAUAAUUUCUCCCCUAAUGGAAACCCUUCACCCCACUAUGUCCCUGAUUUCAUUUUCUCUUUAGAACUUAUGAUGAUCUGACAUACAUAUUUAUAUUAUAUAUUUUAUAUACUUAUUGUGUUGAUUGUCUUUUUCCUGCACAAGAAUAUGAAGUCUAUGAAGAAAUAGUUUUUUUAAAAGUUCUAUCCAGGGCUUCCCUGGUGGUUCAGUGGUUAAGAAUCUGCCUGCCAAUGCAGAGGACACAGGUUUGAUGCCUGGUCUGGGAGGAUCCCACAUGCCACUAAGCCCAUGUGCCACAACUACUGAAGCUGGCACACACUAGAGCCUGUGCUCGGCAACAAGAGAAGCCUCUGCAAUGAGAAGCCUGCGCACCACAACUUGAGAGAGCCCACGUGCAGUGAUGAAGACCCCGUGGACCCAAAAAUAAAUAAAUACAAACACAUUUCCUUAAAAAAAAAUGUUCUAUCCAUUGCCAUACGCCCAGUGCCUAAAAUAGCACCUAAUACAUAUUGAAAGUAUUAGCUGCUCAGUCCUGUUCGACUCUUUGCAACCCCAUUGACUAUAGCCCACCAGGCUCCUCAGACCAUGGCAUCCUCCAGGCAAGAAUACUGGAAGGGACUGCCGUUCCCUUCUCCAGGGGAUCUUUCUAACCCAGGGAUUCAACCCAGGUCUUCUACAUUGAAGGCAGAUUCUUUACUGUCUGAGCCACCAGGGAGGCCCUAACACAUAUUAAGUGCUCAAUAAGUACUUGUUGAAUGGUUGAUAGA
This is a long non-coding RNA of Bos taurus (domestic cattle), 2094 nucleotides long. NCBI's taxonomy places the organism in Eukaryota, Metazoa, Chordata, Mammalia, Artiodactyla, Bovidae. The record is from Ensembl.